AAUGACAUCACAAUACCCCAUAAUGACAUCACAAUACCCCAUAAUGACAUCACAAUACCCCAUAAUGACAUCACAAUACCCCAUAAUGACAAAGUGAAAAAAUGUUUUUAGAAAUGUUUGCAAAUGUAAAAAAAAAAAAAAAGAAAUACCUUACGUAAGUAGUCAAACCCUUUGCUAUGAGGCUUGAAGUUAAGCUCAGGUGCAUCCUGUUUUCAUUGAACAUCCUUGAGAUGUUUCUAAAACUUGGAGUCAACCUGUGGUAAAUUCAAUUGAUUGGACAUGAUUCGGAAAGGCACACAACUGUCUAUGUAAGGUCCCACAGUUGACGUCAGAGCAAAAACCAAGCCAUGAGGUCUAGAAUUGUCCUAAAGCUCCAAGAUAGGAUUUUUAUUUUACCUUUAUUUAACUAGGCAAGUCAGUUAAGAACAAAUUCUUAUUUUCAAUGACUGCCUAGGAGCAGUGGGUUAACUGCCUGUUCAGGGGCAGAACGACAUUUGUACCUUGUCAGCUUGAGGAUAUGAAUUUGCAACCUUUUGGUUACUAGUCCAAUGAUCUAACCACUAGGCUACCCUGCCGCCCCAGAUUGUGUCGAGGCACAGAGCUGGGGAAGGGUACCAACAAUUUCUGUUGCAUUGAAGGUUCCCAAGAACACUGUGGCCUCCAUCAUUCUUAAAUGGAAGAAGUUUGGAACCACCAAGAGACUCUUCCUAGAGCUGGCCGGCAAUAGCAAAAUGAGCAAUCGGGGGAGAAGGGCCUUGAUCAGGGAGGUGACCAAGAACCCGAUGCUCACUCUGACAGAGCUCUAGAGUUCCUCUGUGGAGAUGGGAGAGCCUUCCAGAAGGACCACCAUCUCUGCAGCAGUCCACCAAUCAGGCAUUUAUGGUAGUGUGGCCGGCUGGAAGCGAUUUCUCAAUAAAUGGCACAUGAAUUUUCCAAAUGCACCGAAAGGUCUCCUUAGACCAUGAGAAUCAAGAUUCGCUGGUCUGAUGAAACCAAGAUUGAACUCUUUGGCCUGAAUGCCAAGCGUCCCGUCUGGAGGAAAUCAAUUUUAAAAUAAGGCUGUAACGUAACAAAAUGUGGGAAAAGUUAAGGGGUCUGAAUACUUUCGGAAUGCAGUGUAUAUUUCACCCCCAGCAAAUAUCUUUUCUGUCACUCACCUGUCCAUUAGUUGAGUAAAACCUAUUUCAGAGGAACACCUGUACAAAAUGACAUCACUUGUUAUAGAUACCUUUCUGUUUUGCAGCCUCCGCUAUAUAAUAAAGAUUGAAGUUGUUCCUUUGUUGCUUUGUCCUGUAUGGUUCUUAGGCGCUCUGCGUGGCACAGAGGCAAGUGUGACCUUUGACUUUCAGAAUGACGUUGCCCC
Molecule: long non-coding RNA, 1363 nt
Organism: Oncorhynchus tshawytscha (Chinook salmon)
Lineage: Eukaryota; Metazoa; Chordata; Actinopteri; Salmoniformes; Salmonidae
Source: Ensembl